UACGUAGGGUGCAAGCGUUGCCCGGAUUUAUUGGGCGUAAAGGGCGCGUAGGCGGCUCUGCACGUUCGUUGUGAAAUCGCCCGGCUCAACUGGGCGGGGUCAGCGGAUACGGCAGAGCUUGAGCAAGCUAGGGGGCAAUGGAAUUCCCGGUGUAGUGGUGGAAUGCGUAGAUAUCGUUUGGAACGCCAACGGUGAAAACAGACAGCUGGGAGUGUGCUGACGCUGAGACACGAAAGCCAGGGGAGCGAACGGG
Molecule: ribosomal RNA, 253 nt
Filed under: uncultured bacterium
Lineage: Bacteria
Description: partial 16S ribosomal RNA
Rfam family: Bacterial small subunit ribosomal RNA
Source: RNAcentral